ACUUAGACGCGAGAACCAGUGACACCAUAUGCUCAUACCAAAUUCAAACUCCACAAAUUGAAAUACAUAACACUCAAGAUUGAAGUCAAAGGUUGUAACGGGCUUGGGGUGUUGGCUAACAAAUGAAGGAUAGGGAUAACAAACGUUCUUAAAGCAAUAGCAAGAAAAGUAAUGAAAUGGAAACUUAGAAUUCACUUAGAUUGCAGUAAUCAACUUUUAAACACGAAGGGAAGAUUCAAGCAAUAUUUAGGGCCGAAUUCAAUGUUUUGGACCCUUUCUUCAACAAGCAACACUUUAAAACUCUUUUUCACAUAUUUUUCAACUCCUUUUCUUUUCACAGCUCUUCUUCUUUUCAUUCUAUUUUUCACGAAUCUUU
This 376-nucleotide long non-coding RNA is filed under the name Malus domestica (apple). Its description in RNAcentral is "long non-coding RNA (MDOM_LNC013898)". Lineage: Eukaryota; Viridiplantae; Streptophyta; Magnoliopsida; Rosales; Rosaceae. The record is from RNAcentral.